RNAcentral lists this long non-coding RNA (300 nucleotides) under Gossypium barbadense (sea-island cotton). RNAcentral describes it as "long non-coding RNA (GBAR_LNC020437)". Lineage: Eukaryota; Viridiplantae; Streptophyta; Magnoliopsida; Malvales; Malvaceae. The record is from RNAcentral.
AACAAUGGCACUAUCCAUUCCACAAUCAAUUUAUGAAUAUAUAACUCGUGUAUUCCAUGUAUUUACAACAUAUUUCACAUUCUAUUUUCAGUAUACUAUCUCAUAUUCUUAUCCCAAAGUAGAUUUUAUGGAACACACCGAAUAUACGGAACAAAUAUAGAGGUGCAUUAUUAUGCACUAAUGAACAGAGAGCACUAAAGUGCUAAACAGAGAGCACAGAUGUGCUAAACAGAGAGCACUAACGUGCUAGUAAUCAGAGAGCACUAAUGUGCUAAUAAUCAGAGAGCGCGCUAAAGUUCC